RNAcentral lists this non-coding RNA (31 nucleotides) under Mus musculus (house mouse). The record is from RNAcentral. Lineage: Eukaryota; Metazoa; Chordata; Mammalia; Rodentia; Muridae.
UGGGCAGCCACGUUAAUUUUUCAACGCCUGU